CAGCUGGACUCAGUUUAGAUGAUCCCAAAUUUGUUGGCAGCAUCCAAAGCAUCAUAGUCAGAAGCAAGUCGAACAUAUGCCUCUUCUUUCCUUCAGGGCUGAUCAGGGCUGCUCAGGCUCUAUGUCAGUGUCAUAGAGCUUCUUCACAGCCUGUUUAAUCUGGUGCAUGCCUGUUGGCCUUGACAUACACAAUGAACACAAGUGUUUGUUGUCUUCUAUUUUCUUCAUGGCUGAUUUUGCAAUCAGGGGGAACUUGAUGAUGGCAUAGUGGUCGAGCUUAUUUCUCCUCUGGGUGCUCUUUUAAGGAUAUCUGGGCUGCCUUUGGAGACAUAGUGUAGGGCCAUGAGAAGGGAGGUGACAUGCAGGUCUUCUUCUUAUUUUAUUUUAUUUUAUUUUAUUUGUAUUUUUUGUGGUUCUGGACACCUUUCUGUACCAUCUUCUUGCUUUGGCUUUGGGGUUAACUCUGGGAGGGGCAGGGGCUUCCUUCUUCACUUUUGGUGCCAUCUU
This 507-nucleotide long non-coding RNA is filed under the name Lynx pardinus (Iberian lynx). The record is from RNAcentral. Lineage: Eukaryota; Metazoa; Chordata; Mammalia; Carnivora; Felidae.